This 219-nucleotide unclassified non-coding RNA is filed under the name uncultured Agaricaceae. Its description in RNAcentral is "sequence contains ITS2". Lineage: Eukaryota; Fungi; Basidiomycota; Agaricomycetes; Agaricales; Agaricaceae. The record is from RNAcentral.
AAUUCUCAACCCAUCUGGCUUUGUCAAGUCAGUAUGAGGCUUGGAUAUGAGGGUUUUAUGCAGGCCUUUUAAUACAAAAGGUCAGCUCCCUUGAAAUGUAUUAGCGGAACUGUUUGCAAUCCGUCACUGGUGUGAUAAUUAUCUACGCCAAUUCGACAUUGGAAUGCUCUCUAUGUGUUCAGCUUCUAAUAGUCCAUUACGGACAACCAUUUAUUGACA